RNAcentral lists this ribosomal RNA (465 nucleotides) under uncultured bacterium. RNAcentral describes it as "partial 16S ribosomal RNA". It matches the Rfam family "Bacterial small subunit ribosomal RNA", at positions 28 to 507 of the family's 1533-position model. The record is from RNAcentral.
GACGAACGCUGGCGGCGUGCUUAACACAUGCAAGUCGAACGGAAAGGCCCUGCUUUUGUGGGGUGCUCGAGUGGCGAACGGGUGAGUAACACGUGAGUAACCUGCCCUUGACUUUGGGAUAACUUCAGGAAACUGGGGCUAAUACCGGAUAGGAGCUCCUGCUGCAUGGUGGGGGUUGGAAAGUUUCGGCGGUUGGGGAUGGACUCGCGGCUUAUCAGCUUGUUGGUGGGGUAGUGGCUUACCAAGGCUUUGACGGGUAGCCGGCCUGAGAGGGUGACCGGCCACAUUGGGACUGAGAUACGGCCCAGACUCCUACGGGAGGCAGCAGUGGGGAAUAUUGCACAAUGGGCGGAAGCCUGAUGCAGCAACGCCGCGUGCGGGAUGACGGCCUUCGGGUAAACCGCUUUCGCCUGUGACGAAGCGUGAGUGACGGUAAUGGGUAAAGAAGCACCGGCUAACUACGUG